RNAcentral lists this ribosomal RNA (798 nucleotides) under Candidatus Omnitrophota bacterium. RNAcentral describes it as "bacterial SSU rRNA". It matches the Rfam family "Bacterial small subunit ribosomal RNA", at positions 1 to 956 of the family's 1533-position model. Lineage: Bacteria; Pseudomonadati; Candidatus Omnitrophota. The record is from RNAcentral.
ACGGAGAGUUUGAUCCUGGCUCAGAGCGAACGCUGGCGGCGUGGAUAAGGCAUGCAAGUCGAGCGAUCUCCGCAAGGAGAUAGCGGCAAACGGGUGCGUAACGCGUAGGUAACCUACCCUGAAGCGUGGGAUAACCCGACGAAAGACGGGCUAAUACCACAUGUGCUCGCGGGGUCGCAUGAUCCCGCGAGGAAAGAUGGCCUCGACCGCAAGGUUGCUAUCACUUUAGGAGGGACCUGCGUCCCAUCAGCUAGUUGGUAGGGUCACGGCCUACCAAGGCAUUUGACGGGUAGCUAGCCUUAGAGGGCGGUUAGCCACACUGGGACUGAGACACUGCCCAGACUCCUACGGGAGGCUGCAGUCGAGAAUAUUUGGCAAUGGGCGAAAGCCUGACCAUGCGACGCCGCGUGCGGGAUGAAGGCCUUCGGGUCGUAAACCGCUGUUACGAGGAACGAAAACCUGCGCUGUGAACAAUGGCGCAGGCGUGACGGUACCUCGAGAGAAAGCCACGGCUAACUCCGUGCCAGCAGCCGCGGUAAUACGGAGGUGGCAAGCGUUGCUCGGAUUUACUGGGUGUAAAGGGCACGUAGGCGGGCGAAAGCUAGGGGAGCAAACAGGAUUAGAUACCCUGGUAGUCCUAGCCGUAAACGAUGGACACUAGGUGUCGGCUCCGUCAAGGGGUCGGUGCCGCAGCCAACGCGCUAAGUGUCCCACCUGAGGAGUACGGCCGCAAGGUUGAAACUCAAAGGAAUUGACGGGGGCCAGCACAAGCGGUGGAACAUGUGGUUCAAUUCGAUG